This is a long non-coding RNA of Oncorhynchus tshawytscha (Chinook salmon), 1695 nucleotides long. NCBI's taxonomy places the organism in Eukaryota, Metazoa, Chordata, Actinopteri, Salmoniformes, Salmonidae. The record is from Ensembl.
CUUCUCUCAUUCUCUCUCUCCCCCUUCUCUCUUUCUCUCUCCCUCUGUUAUGCAGUAAACAACGCUCAGGUCAGUGUGACACCACCACAGGCACAUCUUCGUCACCUGCUGCGAGGGGGAACAGAAUGGAGCGUUCCACAGCAAUUUCACUCCUGUGGUUUCCAGGGAAGAGCCUUAGGAGAAUGUGUUAAUCAGCCAGCAAGCAGAGAGGGAACAAGGUGUGCCAUGGGCAGGACAUUGUGGCUCAAUGAGCCAUAGCUCGGGGGACGACGACGACACUUGGAAGCUUUUUGACUGUCCUUGAGAAUGAGGGGCUGAUGAUCGUCUAAAUAUCCAUUUUACCAGCCAUCUCCCACAGGGUGACAUGUCAGUUCUGGAGAGCUUGACAGGGACAAGAGGGGAAUACUGAUGUGGUCAUCAAACGUCUUAUGCGACACUGCGCUAUGAUUACAGCUGUGGGGGAGUUAUUGAGACACAUGAAUGGAGCUGCAGAGCCCGUCAGGUAAAAGUAGCCCACUAAUUGAGGUCAAAUUCUUUCAUUUGUAUCUUUGUUAAAGCUGCACUAUGUAACUUUUUGGGCGACCCAACCUUAGUUACAGAACUAUCAUUCUCAAUGAAAGCAAGUCUAAGAAACGGUUGAUCUGUUCUACAGUGUGUGCACUAUAUUUCUAUGCUUCCAUUCUGAAGUUUAGUUUUCCAAUUUAUAGUGCACCUUUAAUGAUUCAUGAGGAAAGGGGGUUCAUGGGGUGAUUACCAAGCAUGAAUAUUCCCUUCUCAUCUAUUCAGUAAAGCCUUCCUCACCUUUCAAACAUGACAGUUUUGAAAAAUGAGCGUUUUGGUCAUUUUGUCAUGAUGAAUGGAGACAAAGCUUGUCAGCUUCAUCAGUUUUAGACAGAUAUGACAAAAGAGCAGGAUGGAUCCAUUUUCCCUUUGGGUGUUUUUCUGUUGAGUUUCUAUUGGAUAAGCAUGAGUGUUUAAUAUUCUCUUUGAAAAAGAAGAGAGAGUGAGUGUGAGUAAGAGAGUGAGAGAGGGAAAGAGAAUCAGAGAGUGUGUGAGAUAAAGAGAGAGCAAGAGAGGGAUAGAGAGAGUGUGUGCGCUUGAGAGAAAUUGCAUUUAUGUAACAGUUUCUUACCCCUAAUCCCAUGUAUAAAGUGGGGAUACCUGAGUCAAUUGUACAACUGAAAUGUGUCCUCUGAAUCAGAGAGGUGUGGGGAGCUGCCUUAAUCAACAUCCACAUUGUCUGGGGAACAGUGGGUUAACUGCCUUGCUCAGGGGCAGAAUGACAGCUUUUUACCUUGUCAGCUUGGGGAUUUGAUCCAACAACCUUUUGGUUACUGGCCCAAUUCUCUAGCCACUAGGCUACACCUCCAGUCAGUCACUGCCUCUGUCUCCUCUCAGAGCUUACCAGAGCUGCUUUCCUUUCUGUACAGCAGUCCCAGCCAGUCCUUCGGUCAACCACUGUUAAGUGAUACAAAUUGAGCUUCUAUCUAUCAGGUCUCUUCCAGACACUAAACAGCCUGACCAAGGGAUGUCAGACUGAUUAAUCACGGCUAAUGAAAUCAAAGAAAACCCUGCCUUGGUCACUUAUAUAAUGUGCAUGAAUGGUGAAAGUGUGUGUUCAUGUACUCUUCAUGUAUUAUAGGUGUGUGUGUGUGUGUGUGUGUGUGUGUGUGUGUGUGUGUGUGUGUGUGUGUG